Molecule: long non-coding RNA, 396 nt
Organism: Struthio camelus australis
Lineage: Eukaryota; Metazoa; Chordata; Aves; Struthioniformes; Struthionidae
Source: RefSeq, a predicted model, not a curated record
UUCUCUUCUGUUUUCUCCUUCAUCCCCGGCUCUCUUACCAUGCAGUUCUCUUCAUGCUGUUCUCCAAGACUAAAUCUGAGCCUGGCUGAGAUUUGUGGUAAUGAAAAAUGUUAUUUCAAAUUGGAAAGAGCACUGUACUGAGAAAUGGGAUUAUUUCCAAUUCGCUGCAAAACUGAAGAUGCACGAUGCGGUGGCCAGCACUGAGCUGGAAUAUAUUUCUUGAAUGAAUCCUGAUUUCUUGAGAGCUGUGGAGUUUUUUGUCCCUCAUCAGAAAGCCUCAAUUGCAGAACAAGGACUGGAUCCAAGUCUCUUGACUCCUGGCCCAGUAUCCCAUCUGGAACGGGACCUUGUUCUUGACUUGGAGCUCCAUGCCACUGUUAUGCUUUUAUGCAACAG